RNAcentral lists this ribosomal RNA (585 nucleotides) under uncultured Microbacterium sp. RNAcentral's name for it is "partial 16S ribosomal RNA". It matches the Rfam family "Bacterial small subunit ribosomal RNA", at positions 320 to 889 of the family's 1533-position model. The record is from RNAcentral. Lineage: Bacteria; Bacillati; Actinomycetota; Actinomycetes; Micrococcales; Microbacteriaceae.
UUCCCCCCCCCCCCCGCCCCGCGCCCGUCCCGCCGCCCCCGCCCGCCUACGGGAGGCAGCAGGGGGGAAUAUUGCACAAUGGGCGAAAGCCUGAUGCAGCAACGCCGCGUGAGGGAUGACGGCCUUCGGGUUGUAAACCUCUUUUAGCAGGGAAGAAGCGAAAGUGACGGUACCUGCAGAAAAAGCGCCGGCUAACUACGUGCCAGCAGCCGCGGUAAUACGUAGGGCGCAAGCGUUAUCCGGAAUUAUUGGGCGUAAAGAGCUCGUAGGCGGUUUGUCGCGUCUGCUGUGAAAUCCCGAGGCUCAACCUCGGGCCUGCAGUGGGUACGGGCAGACUAGAGUGCGGUAGGGGAGAUUGGAAUUCCUGGUGUAGCGGUGGAAUGCGCAGAUAUCAGGAGGAACACCGAUGGCGAAGGCAGAUCUCUGGGCCGUAACUGACGCUGAGGAGCGAAAGGGUGGGGAGCAAACAGGCUUAGAUACCCUGGUAGUCCACCCCGUAAACGUUGGGAACUAGUUGUGGGGACCAUUCCACGGUUUCCGUGACGCAGCUAACGCAUUAAGUCCCCGCCUGGAGACGCCAAGUGU